Molecule: long non-coding RNA, 529 nt
Organism: Phacochoerus africanus (Common warthog)
Lineage: Eukaryota; Metazoa; Chordata; Mammalia; Artiodactyla; Suidae
Exons: 3
Source: RefSeq, a predicted model, not a curated record
GUGUUUAGCAGAAAGACAAUCCAUUUUUCCCCCAGUCAAUUUUUUUUUCUUUGAUCUAAAAAACUUGCUUCUUUUCUUUGAAGUUGUUCACAAUAGGGUAUGAUAGAAGGAGCACAGAGUGCCAGAAGCAGAAAACUACUAUGCUUCACUAGUGACUCAUAAGAAAACUUAAUAGAAGGUCUCUGAUGCCCACUGGCUCUAAAGUAGCUGAUUGAUGUAGUUACAAACUAAGUAGGCUACCUUUAUGGAACCAAGCACAUCAGAGUCAUAGGAAGGAGUAUAGGGAGAGGAUCCUUUGUUUCCUAGCAGUGACAAAGAUAAACAUUAACAGUGCAAGACACAGUGAGAAACACAGAUCCAGGGAUGGACGAUCCUUCUGAGGACAAUAUAGAGACAAUUUGUCUAAGUUUCCUGAGUGAGAAACCUUCCAGAUGGCAUCCCUGAAAGUUAGUUAUUCCUGCUCAAAACACAGAGCUUUCUCAAGAGGAAGAUAACACUUCCUUUCAUCAGAGAGUGAGAGUUUUCAACA